RNAcentral lists this transfer RNA (82 nucleotides) under Cylindrobasidium torrendii FP15055 ss-10. RNAcentral's name for it is "tRNA-Ser (AGA) (tRNA-Ser-AGA-2-1)". It matches the Rfam family "tRNA". Rfam says of the family: Transfer RNA (tRNA) molecules are approximately 80 nucleotides in length. Lineage: Eukaryota; Fungi; Basidiomycota; Agaricomycetes; Agaricales; Physalacriaceae. The record is from Rfam by way of RNAcentral.
GGCGCUAUAGCCAAGUGGUUACGGCGAGAGAUUAGAAAUCUCUUCCUCUUUGAGGGCGCAGGUUCAAAUCCUGCUGGCGUCG